RNAcentral lists this ribosomal RNA (336 nucleotides) under uncultured bacterium. Its description in RNAcentral is "bacterial SSU rRNA". It matches the Rfam family "Bacterial small subunit ribosomal RNA", at positions 29 to 351 of the family's 1533-position model. The record is from RNAcentral.
AACGAACGCUGGCGGCGUGCUUAAUACAUGCAAGUCGAACGAGAAAGUCCGGCUUCGGUUGGACGAGUAAAGUGGCGAACGGGUGAGUAACACGUGGAUAAUCUACCCCUAAAUCUGGGAUAAUCCUUCGAAAGGAGGUCUAAUACCGGAUGAUACCCUUUGACGGCAUCGUCUUUGGGUCAAAGGCGGGGCAACCUGUUGUUUAGGGAUGAGUCCGCGCCCCAUUAGCUUGUUGGUGAGGUAACGGCUCACCAAGGCUGCGAUGGGUAGCCGGCCUGAGAGGGCGAUCGGCCACACUGGGACUGAGAUACGGCCCAGACUCCUACGGGAGGCUAG